Meriones unguiculatus (Mongolian gerbil) is the source of this 846-nucleotide long non-coding RNA. RefSeq lists it as uncharacterized. The record is from RefSeq and is a predicted model, not a curated record. NCBI's taxonomy places the organism in Eukaryota, Metazoa, Chordata, Mammalia, Rodentia, Muridae. The transcript is spliced from 4 exons.
AGUCUUAGAUUCCAUCACCUUGGCCUGCACAGCUGAGUGUGGUAACGAGUGCUGAAAGGCAAUCUGAGGAUGGUGAUCGGGUAUUAAAUGUGGACAGAUGCUGCCCAGAGGUGUAUCACAUACAUGCAGUCCUGAGGUGACCAGAAGGGGGCAUCGGAUACCUUGGAACUGGAGUUAUAGUCUGUUUUCCCGUCACCCAGUGUGGAUGCUGGGAACUGAACUCAGGUCCUCUGCAAGAUCAACUCAAACUGCCUCCUGGAUUUCUUUUCAACCUUCUAAGGCCACUGUACUAUUCACCCGGGUGUGAGAACAACAAACCAAGACAAGAGCCUAGCAUAACUCCUCUGAGAAAAUUCACCCAGCAUCUGAUGGAAACAAAUGCAGAGACCCACAAUUGAUGGAACAAUUGAGGGAGCUGGAGAGAUCAAGGACUCCAUCAGAAAACCUACAGAAUCAGCUAACCUGGGCCCAUGGGGACUCACAGAGACUGAACCACCAACUAAAGAGCAUGUACGGACUGGUCCUAGGUCCCUGUUCACAUAUGUAGAUGCACAGCUUGGUCUUUAUGUGGAUCCCCUAACAACUGGAGCAGGGACUUCAUUUACUCCAAUGCCUGCCUUUGGAUCCUGUUUCUGGUCUGCCUUGUCUGGCCUCAGUGGGAGAGGAUGCACUUACUUUUGCAGCGAUUUAACAUGCCAAGGCAUGUUGGUACCCAUGAGGGACCUCUUCCUUCUCUGAGAAGAAGAGGAGAGAAUGGGGACAAGGGGUAUGUGAGGGGGGCGGUCUGGGAGACGAGAAGGAGGCUACAAUUAAGAUGUAAACUGAAUAAAUAAAUACAUUUUUAAA